GAUGAACGCUAGCGGCAGGCUUAAUACAUGCAAGUCGAGGGGUAACACGGGUAGCAAGUACCUGGUGACGACCGGCAAACGGGUGCGGAACACGUACAGAACCUUCCUUUAAGCGGGGGAUAGCCCAUAGAAAUGUGGAUUAAUACCCCAUAGUAAUAUUGUCUGGCAUCAGAUGGUAUUUAAAGAUUUAUCACUUAAAGAUGGCUGUGCGGCUGAUUAGGUAGUUGGUGCGGGUAACGGCCCACCAAGCCAUCGAUCAGUAACUGGUGUGAGAGCACGACCAGUCACACGGGCACUGAGACACGGGCCCGACUCCGUACGGGAGGCAGCAGUAAGGAAUAUUGGUCAAUGGACGCAAGUCUGAACCAGCCAU
This 373-nucleotide ribosomal RNA is filed under the name uncultured bacterium. Its description in RNAcentral is "bacterial SSU rRNA". It matches the Rfam family "Bacterial small subunit ribosomal RNA", at positions 28 to 395 of the family's 1533-position model. The record is from RNAcentral.